UGAUGCAUGUUGCAGCUGCUAGAUAUGAUAUGGAUCGGUUUGGGCUUAUUUUCAGGCCCAGCCCAAGACAAUCUGAUGUCAUGGUUGUGGCUGGGACUCUAACCAAUAAGAUGGCUCCAGCUUUGAGGAGGUAUGCAUACAAACCAUUGGAUUUGAUAUAUCAUGGACUGAAAAUAUAGGCAAAUGAAUUUCAUUAUGAAAAAAUUAUAUAAAUAUUUUGAUUUGUGUGAAUCGAAUUUAUUUAAAAAAUUUCUUAAACUAUAAUUAAUUCUUAGGUAGAAUAAUUAUAUCUAAAUUUAUUUAAAAUUUUAUUCUUUUGCAUUUUUCACAACCUAUUUUUAUCUUAUAUUAAAAGGUAAUUAUAUUAUUAUAAUUAGAACUUUUGCUUUUGAGUAAUUUUUCAUGGACACUUCUCUUGUUUAUAUAAAAUUAUGGAAUUUUAUAAAAGUUGAAUGGUAAAUGUAAUUCAACUCAUAAUUACAUUAAUUUUUAAAAUUUUAAAUUAAAUUAUAAAAUAGUGAAAAAUUUAAAACUUUUUUAUUAAUGAUAUUUAUUUAUGUAAUAUAUAAGUAUAAUAAAAUAAUCUAUUAUCAAAACCUACUCUUUUUCGUUGAAGUUUUAAAUUUAAAUAUAAUUAUAAUAAAAUUUAUAAUUAUAGAUAUUUUAAAUUAAAUUAUAAAAUAAGGAAAAUAUUUAAAUGGUUAUAAUUUAUGGAUAUUAUGAGAAAGUCCCAACAUAAAAAUGAAAAUAUUAUUUUGAGAUAGUGAAUGAGAAUAUAACAAAUGUAAACAUUAGCAGUCACUUAUUCAUUGCAUUCAUGAUUUUUGUGUAUAAAUAAGGGGUGAGAUUAAAGAAAAUAGUUUUCAUAUGAAAAUUACCUUUAUAGUCAUUAAUUAUAAGUUUGAUGGAUAUACUUGAAAAAAAAUAAUAUUAAUGUGAAUACCUAUUUUUCUUAAUAUUAUUUAUAAAUAAAUGUUUUAAUUUAAUAAUAACUCAUUGUUGUUUUGGAGUAUUAAGUGGUAUUCUCGCCCUCUGCGAAAUCUAUUAAUUAAUCGCUUAAUAAUUUUGAGUUGUUAUUAAUGUAAGAUUACAGAGAGUUAGAGCUUAUACAAAAUUAUAAAUUUUUCAUUUAUGAUAAACACUUCAAUUAAUUUAUCUAAAUAAUUAAUUUAAUAGUAUUAAGCUAUUUAUAAUAUUGAACUUAUAUUAAUGGAUGCUACGAUUAUUUGUAAGCUUCUAAGAAAAAUAUUUGAGUGCUAUUUCCUUCGCUCACAAAUGAAAAAGACUAAUUCAUAAUAAAUUUUUAAAAAAUUAUAAUAAUUUGUUACACACUUUUUAGAUCACGAUGCUUUUUUUAUAUAUUAAUAUUAAAUGACUUAAAUAUUAAUAAGAGUGUUUAUGAAAAAUAAAAAUUAAUGUUAUUUUGAAAAUUUUAACUCUAAAACGAUAUGUACUGUGAGACGGAAGUAUUAUUUUUAGAGACAAAGGAAAUAAGAAGUUCCAACCUGUGAAACUGAUUUGUCGAGAACUCUUACUUUCUUUGCAGGGUUUAUGAUCAAAUGCCUGAGCCAAGGUGGGUGAUUUCGAUGGGAAGCUGUGCCAAUGGAGGUGGCUAUUACCAUUACUCAUACUCUGUGGUUCGCGGAUGUGACCG
This 1654-nucleotide long non-coding RNA is filed under the name Manihot esculenta (cassava). RNAcentral's name for it is "long non-coding RNA (MESC_LNC006355)". Lineage: Eukaryota; Viridiplantae; Streptophyta; Magnoliopsida; Malpighiales; Euphorbiaceae. The record is from RNAcentral.